RNAcentral lists this ribosomal RNA (300 nucleotides) under uncultured Propionigenium sp. Its description in RNAcentral is "bacterial SSU rRNA". It matches the Rfam family "Bacterial small subunit ribosomal RNA", at positions 114 to 411 of the family's 1533-position model. The record is from RNAcentral. Lineage: Bacteria; Fusobacteriati; Fusobacteriota; Fusobacteriia; Fusobacteriales; Fusobacteriaceae.
CGCGUAAAGAACUUGCCCUCUAGACUGGGACAACUGUUGGAAACGACAGCUAAUACCGGAUAUUAUGAGAACCUCGCAUGGGGAACUUAUGAAAGGCUAUAUGCGCUAGAGGAGAGCUUUGCGUGCCAUUAGGUAGUUGGUAGGGUAAUGGCCUACCAAGCCGACGAUGGCUAGCCGGCCUGAGAGGGUGAUCGGCCACAAGGGGACUGAGACACGGCCCUUACUCCUACGGGAGGCAGCAGUGGGGAAUAUUGGACAAUGGACCAAAAGUCUGAUCCAGCAAUUCUGUGUGCACGAUGA